CAUCGGCAAGUCUUGUCCGACGUCCUUACGCAAAAUCGCAGUGCGUCGCAAUUUUACGUCCUACAUGAUAUACAUUAUUAACACUAUUUCCCUCGACUGCACAUUAUAAAGUAUAUUGCGGCUAGAUAACGAUGACGCGCGCGCGUGUGUGUGUGUGUGUCUCGUCGCUCACUAGUAUAGAUCUAUCCAGACAGCGUUGUCCAUAAUUUAAUAUAUUGUGCUCACUAGACUAUUUCUACGACAAUAUACGUGUUCCGAUCAUUGUUAACACGUUGUCUAGAAAAUUAAUACAUAUUUAUCAUAAUAUCAUUCUUCUGUAUAUGUAUUUUUAUCACACACGAGUCGUGUCUCUCGUCUCCGACCUAGUCCUGAUUUGCACGUCGCUUCCACGCAUACGUACUAUGUUAACGAUAUAAAAUAUUAUAAGAGUGUAAAAAUAAUAUACUUGUAGCAACCUAAAGUCGAUUUUUUCUAAUUUUAUUGUUUUUUUUUUAUACCUGUGAACAAUAUUAUUGUUGUGUCUGAGGAAAUUCAAACUAUUUCUUGUUAAUUGCAUGUACCUACAGUGUACACGUAUCUGCCUACACUACACUCGUCGAUCGCCAGGCUCAAGAGAAAAGAAAACACGGCGUGUUAUUGUUUAUCGAUUGUACACUAUUAAAUACUAAUAAGUAAUAAUAAAUGUGAAAUAAUAUUAUGACUAUGUGACAUUUUACAAAAUAUGCCUAAAUUAUAAUGAGAAUUAUUUCCCUUAUGAAUUUGUAUCCUUACGUAAUAUCUAUCCUUAUUGUUACAGCUGGGAGCACGACGGCGGCCACCUGAGAAUGCCUAUAUAUGCUACACGAGAACAACACCAUCCACACGCUGGCAAUUGGCGUAACAUCACAGUCACAAUAUUAUGCGAUCAAUAUGAAUAAUAUGUGUACACUCAAAGCUCAUUGUCAAUACAAAUUUCGAUACUUAACGCUGUUUUGUCGUUUAAAUAAUACACUUCUGAAUUUGUUUUUUAUGACAACGCAAUAAUUUACUACAUACUGCAUUGUACCUAUUACCUGGUGAAAUCAAGAAUAAGAGUCUUAUGCUGUAUAAAUAUAUUAUAAUAUAUUAUGACAUAUUGAA
Molecule: long non-coding RNA, 1119 nt
Organism: Myzus persicae (green peach aphid)
Lineage: Eukaryota; Metazoa; Arthropoda; Insecta; Hemiptera; Aphididae
Exons: 2
Source: RefSeq, a predicted model, not a curated record